RNAcentral lists this long non-coding RNA (623 nucleotides) under Pan troglodytes (chimpanzee). RNAcentral describes it as "long non-coding RNA NONPTRT009596". Lineage: Eukaryota; Metazoa; Chordata; Mammalia; Primates; Hominidae. The record is from RNAcentral.
ACACACACCCCUACACACACCACACACACAUCUACACCCACCACACACACCUCCACACACCACACCUACACUCAUACACCUACACACACCCCUACACACACCACACACACAUCUACACCCACACCUACACACACCACACCUAUACUCAUACACCUACACACACCCCUACACACACCACACACACAUCUACACCCACACCUACACACACCACACCUAUACUCAUACACCUACACACACCCUUACACACACCACACACACAUCUACACCCACCACACCUACACACACACCACAUGCAUCUACACCUACACACACACCCCUACACCUACACAUACACACAUACACACCUACACACACCACACACCUACACCUACACCAACACAUACACACCUACAUUCAUACACCUACAUACACACCCCUGCAUAUACCACACCUACACACUCAUACACCUACACACACACCACACACAUCUACACCCACACCUACACACACACCACAUGCAUCUACACCUACACACACACCCCUACACCUACACAUACACACAUACACACCUACACACACCACACACCUACACCUACACACACCUACACCUACACACCUACACUCAUACACCUACAUACACACCC